Notolabrus celidotus (New Zealand spotty) is the source of this 203-nucleotide long non-coding RNA. RefSeq lists it as uncharacterized. NCBI's taxonomy places the organism in Eukaryota, Metazoa, Chordata, Actinopteri, Labriformes, Labridae. The transcript is spliced from 3 exons. The record is from RefSeq and is a predicted model, not a curated record.
GCUUUCCCUGUUUGAUCAACUGCUACCUAGCAACAUAGCCUUGCUUGUUAGCAACAGCACUUUUUACCUGCCAGGUCAAGUAAUGCUCUGCAGAGGAUCAGCUGAGGCUCUCACUGACUGCAGUGGAUGUGUUUAACCAACAGGAGCAGCUUGCGCUGAAACCAAGCGGCAAACUCCAGUCUACAAAUAUGAGUCCAAUGCGG